This 256-nucleotide long non-coding RNA is filed under the name Hordeum vulgare. Its description in RNAcentral is "long non-coding RNA (HVUL_LNC016561)". Lineage: Eukaryota; Viridiplantae; Streptophyta; Magnoliopsida; Poales; Poaceae. The record is from RNAcentral.
UUCUGGAUAAGCAUCUUCAUGAGGGUGUUUUGGGUCUUGAUCAACUGUUGAAGUUCCGGUAGGAAGUUGGAUCCUGGGCCAUUGGGUGACGAAGCACGUCUCGGAGGCAUUUGAUAGGUUUAUACUGGAAGAGGACAAUAGAAUAGAAUAAGGGCCUCAUGGGAAAAUCACACUACCUAUAUGCAUAUGACAAAAUUAGUCACUUCUUGAACUUUGGAGGUGCUCAGCAUUUAUGUUGUGUGGUCUUAGAAAGGGC